ACGGGUGAGUAAUACAUCGGAACGUAUCCUGGAGUGGGGGAUAGCCCGGCGAAAGCCGGAUUAAUACCGCAUACGCUCUGAGGAGGAAAGCGGGGGACCUUCGGGCCUCGCGCUCAAGGGGCGGCCGAUGGCGGAUUAGGUAGUUGGUGGGGUAAAGGCCUACCAAGCCGACGAUCCGUAGCUGGUCUGAGAGGACGACCAGCCACACUGGGACUGAGACACGGCCCAGACUCCUACGGGAGGCAGCAGUGGGGAAUUUUGGACAAUGGGGGCAACCCUGAUCCAGCAAUGCCGCGUGUGUGAAGAAGGCCUUCGGGUUGUAAAGCGCUUUUGUCCGGAAAGAAAUCAUCGGGGCCAAUACCCCUGGUGGAUGACGGUACCGGAAGAAUAAGCACCGGCUAACUACGUGCCAGCAGCCGCGGUAAUACGUAGGGUGCGAGCGUUAAUCGGAAUUACUGGGCGUAAAGCGUGCGCAGGCGGUGCUGUAAGACCGAUGUGAAAUCCCCGGGCUUAACCUGGGAACUGCAUUGGUGACUGCAGCGCUGGAGUAUGGCAGAGGGGGGUGGAAUUCCACGU
This 576-nucleotide ribosomal RNA is filed under the name uncultured bacterium. RNAcentral describes it as "bacterial SSU rRNA". It matches the Rfam family "Bacterial small subunit ribosomal RNA", at positions 102 to 674 of the family's 1533-position model. The record is from RNAcentral.